Acanthochromis polyacanthus (spiny chromis) is the source of this 1834-nucleotide long non-coding RNA. RefSeq lists it as uncharacterized. The transcript has 4 exons. The record is from RefSeq and is a predicted model, not a curated record. NCBI's taxonomy places the organism in Eukaryota, Metazoa, Chordata, Actinopteri, Pomacentridae.
UACAGGAAGUACCAAAAUAAAAGCUCGGGGAGCUCGCUGAGUGAUCCGUGAACUGUCAUGUCUUCCUUGCCGUCAUCUCGGUUCCACUCGGUCACUGUCGCGACGCGCCCCACGCUUACCACACAGUGUCGAGGGAUUCAGCUUUGGCUGAAAGUAUUGGAAGGGCCGUUCUGGCAGCUAUACAAGAAAUUAACCCAGCGUCAGCUACAACGGCUGGCGCAGAGCCACAACAGCACUUGGCUGUUCGGAACUACGCUGCUCUUAGAUCAGCCACACCGUCUACCUCCACUUUGACAUCCUACCGCAUGCUAUGCUGUCAUACUGAUUUGACCUAGAUGUCUAUUUGUGUUUUCAACAUGACUUGUGACUCCGGCACUGAUGGUACGGUAUCUUUAACAGCACCAGACUUCACCCCAGUGACCUCUCAGUCAGGUACCUACCAAGGAAGGCAUGAUAUAUCCAGAGAGGAGCUUGAACAUGUUCUUUCCCUGAAAACCACUUUUACUGAAGCAGCAUCUACUCUUGGAAUCUCAAGGCCAACUUUCUAUAAAUUACUACAAGACUACAAUAUUCCAACAUCAAAAUUUGAUCUAAUCAGUGAUCAACCAUUAGAUAUUGAAGUGUCACAAAUCAAAACUGAACACCCAAAUGUUGGUGAAGUGAUGCUCAUGGCGCAUCUGUAUGAAGGUAAAUUUGUUUUAUUUUUCAAUCGAAAAAAAAGUUGCUCCAAUCGCAAAACAUGUUCUCAAUCAGAAAAAACGUCACUUCAAUAAAAAAAAACAAAAACGUUUUCAAUCAAAGAAAAAACUUGUUCAAACGCAAAAAAAAAAUAUUUGUGCUAUUUGUGGAUUAUUUACUGAUUUCAAGACAUGUUUUGGACAAUAUAUUAUACUGGCUUGUUUUGUCUGGAUGUCUAAGCUUGGAUUAUGGCCGUUUUUUGUGGAAUAUUUUCAUUUGUGACCAGUUAUGAGCCUUCAAAGGUGAGUUUUGCUGUUUACGUGAUUUGUUGUUUUGUACAUUGUAGAUUAAUACUGAAGAUGAACACUUUUUGUUGACAAUAUAAUUGUUUAUGUCUUAUUUUAUAGUUUUGAUGUCUUCAGUAUUAAUCUACAAUGUACAAAAUAAUGAGAUAAAAACCACUGAAUGAGAAGUUCAAGUUUGCUUUAUUGUCUCCUGUGGGAGAAAUUUGUCUUAGACAAGGCAAGAAGUCAAGCUGCACAGCAAAACAAUAAAACAGAACACAUACUAUUAAGAAUACAUGAUAAAUACAUGACAUAUAAUAACUAAGUUAAAAUAAUAUAAAAAAAACAAAAUACACACAUUCCCCCAUGCAUACAUUUCGCACAUCCCCAAUUACCUCCCUUUGGUAGCUGCACCUCGCCGCUGAUUAAUGAGCUUGACUGAGACGGGGAUGAAAGAAUUUUUUAAACAGUUGAGCUUCACAGCAGGACUCUGUACCUCCUGCCUGAAUUCAACAGCUCACACUGUGUGAACAGGACAUGGGAUGGAUCAGCAAGAAUACUGUUUGCUUGCCUGAUGGUGGCCUGCAUAAAUAAGUCUUGUGGCAUCAGUGGAACAGGGGUACCUAUGAUUUUACUGGCCAUCUUCACCAGGUUAUGAAGAUGGCGAGUAAAAUCAUAGGUACCCUUGAAGGUGUGUCCAUGCUGUAUCUCCAUAGAUAUUAAUCUGAAUGGUUUUCUCUUUCUGAAAAUGGAUUGCAACGAUCUCUUCUGGCAUGACGUCCUGUGCGAGCACAGUCAACACUCUAUUCUUUGCACAAUGCCUUAUUUCGACAGGAAACAAAGGAAAUGAUUCCCUCUGGUGACAUAUUAGC